Molecule: ribosomal RNA, 425 nt
Filed under: uncultured Bacillota bacterium
Lineage: Bacteria; Bacillati; Bacillota
Description: bacterial SSU rRNA
Rfam family: Bacterial small subunit ribosomal RNA
Source: RNAcentral
AGGGAAUCUUCCACAAUGGACGAAAGUCUGAUGGAGCAACGCCGCGUGAGUGAUGAAGGUUUUCGGAUCGUAAAACUCUGUUGUAAGGGAAGAACCAGUACGUCAGGCAAUGGACGAUAAUGACGGUACCAAAAGAGGAAGCCACGGCUAACUACGUGCCAGCAGCCGCGGUAAUACGUAGGUGGCGAGCGUUGUCCGGAAUUACUGGGCGUAAAGGGCGCGUAGGCGGCCUGUUAAGUCAGAUGUGAAACCCCCAGGCUCAACUUGGGGAUUGCAUAUGAAACUGAUGGGCUCGAGUGUCGGAGAGGAAAGCGGAAUUCCUAGUGUAGCGGUGAAAUGCGUAGAUAUUAGGAGGAACACCAGUGGCGAAGGCGACUUUCUGGACGAUAACUGACGCUGAGGCGCGAAAGCGUGGGGAGCAAACA